Molecule: unclassified non-coding RNA, 376 nt
Filed under: soil metagenome
Description: partial contains 5.8S ribosomal RNA, internal transcribed spacer 2, and large subunit ribosomal RNA
Rfam family: 5.8S ribosomal RNA (bases 1-120)
Source: RNAcentral
GAUGAAGAACGUAGCGAAAUGCGAUAAGUAAUGUGAAUUGCAGAAUUCAGUGAAUCAUCGAAUCUUUGAACGCAUCUUGCGCUCCUUGGUAUUCUGAGGAGCAUGCCUGUUUGAGUGUCAUUAAAUUCUCAACUACACUGACUUUGAAUUGGUGUGGCUUGGAUUUGGGGGGAAAAUUGUUGUGGGCUUUUUGUAUAGUCUGCUCCCCUGAAAUUGAUUAGCGGUACCUUUGUGGAACUGUCUACAGGUGUGAUAAUUAUCUACAUCUUAGACAUCUGCUGGAAUGCUGCUUUCUAAACCUUACUUGUAUUGACAAUCUUGACCUCAAAUCAGGUAGGACCACCCGCUGAACUUAAGCAUAUCAAUAAGCGGAGGA